RNAcentral lists this ribosomal RNA (254 nucleotides) under uncultured bacterium. RNAcentral's name for it is "partial 16S ribosomal RNA". It matches the Rfam family "Bacterial small subunit ribosomal RNA", at positions 524 to 776 of the family's 1533-position model. The record is from RNAcentral.
UACAGAGGGUGCAAGCGUUAAUCGGAUUUACUGGGCGUAAAGGGCGCGUAGGUGGUUGUUUAAGUGAGAUGUGAAAGCCCCGGGCUUAACCUGGGAACUGCAUCUUAUACUGGGCAGCUGGAGUGAAGUAGAGGGUGAUGGAAUUCCGGGUGUAGCGGUGGAAUGCGUAGAGAUCCGGAAGAACACCGGUGGCGAAGGCGGCCUGCUGGGCAGUUGCUGACACUGGAGGCGCGACAGCGUGGGGAGCAAACAGG